Schistosoma rodhaini is the source of this 46-nucleotide non-coding RNA. NCBI's taxonomy places the organism in Eukaryota, Metazoa, Platyhelminthes, Trematoda, Strigeidida, Schistosomatidae. The record is from Rfam.
GCACUGCUGCGGAGUCUCAAAAUAGGACGAAACGGCCGUCCAGUGC